RNAcentral lists this ribosomal RNA (688 nucleotides) under Bacillus sp. (in: firmicutes). RNAcentral describes it as "bacterial SSU rRNA". It matches the Rfam family "Bacterial small subunit ribosomal RNA", at positions 65 to 735 of the family's 1533-position model. The record is from RNAcentral. Lineage: Bacteria; Bacillati; Bacillota; Bacilli; Caryophanales; Bacillaceae.
AGCGGACAGAUGGGAGCUUGCUCCCUGAUGUUAGCGGCGGACGGGUGAGUAACACGUGGGUAACCUGCCUGUAAGACUGGGAUAACUCCGGGAAACCGGGGCUAAUACCGGAUGGUUGUUUGAACCGCAUGGUUCAAACAUAAAAGGUGGCUUCGGCUACCACUUACAGAUGGACCCGCGGCGCAUUAGCUAGUUGGUGAGGUAACGGCUCACCAAGGCAACGAUGCGUAGCCGACCUGAGAGGGUGAUCGGCCACACUGGGACUGAGACACGGCCCAGACUCCUACGGGAGGCAGCAGUAGGGAAUCUUCCGCAAUGGACGAAAGUCUGACGGAGCAACGCCGCGUGAGUGAUGAAGGUUUUCGGAUCGUAAAGCUCUGUUGUUAGGGAAGAACAAGUACCGUUCGAAUAGGGCGGUACCUUGACGGUACCUAACCAGAAAGCCACGGCUAACUACGUGCCAGCAGCCGCGGUAAUACGUAGGUGGCAAGCGUUGUCCGGAAUUAUUGGGCGUAAAGGGCUCGCAGGCGGUUUCUUAAGUCUGAUGUGAAAGCCCCCGGCUCAACCGGGGAGGGUCAUUGGAAACUGGGGAACUUGAGUGCAGAAGAGGAGAGUGGAAUUCCACGUGUAGCGGUGAAAUGCGUAGAGAUGUGGAGGAACACCAGUGGCGAAGGCGACUCUCUGGUCU